Molecule: small nucleolar RNA, 138 nt
Filed under: Ornithorhynchus anatinus (platypus)
Lineage: Eukaryota; Metazoa; Chordata; Mammalia; Monotremata; Ornithorhynchidae
Source: RNAcentral
ACCUUCUCAGGAUCAUACCUGGAGAGUUUCCAGUACUCUAACAGUCUCAGCUAUGGGAAGGAGAGUCAAGCAGAGGUAUACCCAUUCCAUUCCUAGCUUGGCCAGUGGCUAGUGAGUGGAAGGCAAUCUGCUACAAGU